Molecule: non-coding RNA, 80 nt
Organism: Rhamnusium bicolor
Lineage: Eukaryota; Metazoa; Arthropoda; Insecta; Coleoptera; Cerambycidae
Source: the annotation of a GenBank genome assembly
GGCAUGGUAGCCGAGUGGGUAAAGCGCUUAUAGCUAUUUAAGCAAAUAUCGAUGGUUCGAAUCCAUCCCAGAGUAAGUUA